Molecule: long non-coding RNA, 432 nt
Filed under: Vigna radiata
Lineage: Eukaryota; Viridiplantae; Streptophyta; Magnoliopsida; Fabales; Fabaceae
Description: long non-coding RNA (VRAD_LNC015352)
Source: RNAcentral
CGGUUCACUUUGAAAGUGACAGGUUUGUAUUAUGGAUAAUGUUAUAUGGUUAAUUUGUAGUAGUGGGGAUCUUUUGGUCGUGUGAUGCGGGAAAUAAAUUCUCUUCGGCCGUGUGAUGCGGGAAGACGAUGAUUUGAUAAUGAUGACUCUUUCGGCCGUGUGAUGCGGGAAAGAAAUUCUCUUCGGCCGUGUGAUGCGGGAAGAUGAUGAUUCAGUGGUGACGACUCUUUCGGUCGUGUGAUGCGGGAAAGAAGUUCUAUUUUGUCGUGUGAUACGGAAAGAGGAUGUCGUGUGAUUCGUAAUGAAUUGGUUUAUGAACAAUGAGGUGGUGCUGCUAUUGAGGUGAUGAAAUAUGUUUAUGAUUAAACUAUUGACUGUUUAAAAAAAAAUAUNNUNNUNUNUUUNUGUGNUAUGAAAUUUCUUGUUGCUCAC